UAGUCAUAUGCUUGUUUCAAGGACUAAGCCAUGCAAGUCUCAGAGUAAAUGGAUCACAGUAGGUCUGCAAACAUCUCAUUGAAUCAACUUCAAUCUACGCCGAGAAACUGCCUUUUGGCAGACUAUUGGAUGACUUUGGUAACCCCAAAGCUAAUACAUGUCAGCAAAACCCGCACAGAUUCAACCUGGGGACCUUGGUUCCUGGGCUGUGUUGGGUGCAAUUGACCGAAACAAAAAUAAACGCUGGCAAUAGCAACGGUGAUUAGAUGAUUCAGGUUAAUCGAGUAGUAGCGCAUGCUUCCGUGGCGCUGGUCGGCAUGAGAAUCUGCCCUAUCAGCUUUUGACGGUAGUGCAGUGGACUACCGUGGCUGUGACGGGUAACGGGGAAUUAGGGUUCGAUUCCGGAGAGGGAGCCUGAGAAACGGCUACCACAACUAAGGUUGGCAGCAGGCGCGCAAAUUGCCCAAUAGCAACACAUCGCUGAGGCAGCGAAGAUAAAUAGCAACUUCAUGCGGCCCUGCCGUGUGAAGAUUGCCAUGGACGAUAUCUAAACCUGUCGGUGAGUAUCAAUUGGUGGACAGGUCGUCAGCACCCGCGGUAAUUCCAGCCCCAAUGGCGUAUAUUAAUGCUGCUGCUGUUAAAAGGCUCGUAGUUGGAUCAAGAGCUUGACAGUGCACGGUGGCCCUGUUUAUCGAGGUGGUUCCGAUCACCGCGGUGGCAGCGGAUCAACCCCGUGCGCCAAACUGUCGACUCGAACAGACCGAAACGGUUCCCUGUGAGUAGGCUCCUUUCUUAGAUCGUAGAAAGGCGAACUUCUGCGAAAGCAUUCGACAAGAAUGUCUUCAUUGAUCAAGAACGAGGGUGUGGGGAUCGAAGAUGAUCAGAUACCGUCGUAGUCCACUACUGUAAACAAUGCCGUCUCAGGAUUGAGAAGUGAACAGAAUGACUUUCACAGCACUAACCCCUGAAACGCGAAAUCAAAGAUUAUGGGUUCAGGGGGAAGUACAUUCGCAAGACUGAAACUUAAAGGAAUUGACGGAAUGACACCACAAGGCGUGGAGUAUGCGGCUUAAUUUGACUCAACACGGGGGAUUUUACUAGAUCAGGACAAUGUAAGGAUUGACCGAUUGGGAGCUCCUUCUCGAUCCAUUGUGUGGUGGUGCAUGGCCGCUCCUGGUUGGUGGAGUGAUUCGUCUGGUUGAUUCCGUUAACGAACGAGAUCUCGACCCUUAAAUAGGCGCCCGUGUCGAAUGUAGUUUCGCCUUCGCGUACUUGUACGAUUGGAGCGGGACGAGACUGCGGGAAUACUUCUUAAGGGGACUGUGUGUGUCUCUAGCACGCGGAAGAGCGAGCCAAUAGCAGGUCUGUGAUGCUCCUGAAUGUCCUAGGCUGCACGCGCACUACACUGAUGCAAUGAACGAGUCUGAGUGCAUUCUGGCAACCUACCUGGAAGCGGGUGGGAAAUAUUUUGAACUUGCAUCGUGAUGAGGAUCGACGAUUGCAAUUAUUCUCCUUGAAUGAGGAAUGCCUAGUAGGCACAAGUCAGCAGCUUGCACUGCUUACGUCCCUGCCAUUUGUACACACCGCCCGUCGUUGCUACUGAUUGGCUGUAGGAUAGAGUUGGGCGGAUUUCCGACA
This 1638-nucleotide ribosomal RNA is filed under the name uncultured marine diplonemid. Its description in RNAcentral is "SSU rRNA". It matches the Rfam family "Eukaryotic small subunit ribosomal RNA". The record is from RNAcentral. Lineage: Eukaryota; Euglenozoa; Diplonemea.